This 254-nucleotide ribosomal RNA is filed under the name uncultured bacterium. RNAcentral describes it as "partial 16S ribosomal RNA". It matches the Rfam family "Bacterial small subunit ribosomal RNA", at positions 524 to 776 of the family's 1533-position model. The record is from RNAcentral.
UACGUAGGGGGCAAGCGUUGUCCGGAAUCAUUGGGCGUAAAGAGCGCGUAGGCGGCCCUGUAAGUCCGCUGUGAAAGUCAAGGGCUCAACCCUUGAAUGCCGGUGGAUACUGCAGGGCUAGAGUCCGGAAGAGGCGAGUGGAAUUCCUGGUGUAGCGGUGAAAUGCGCAGAUAUCAGGAGGAACACCGAUGGCGAAGGCAGCUCGCUGGGACGGUGACUGACGCUGAGGCGCGAAAGCGUGGGGAGCAAACAGG